Molecule: ribosomal RNA, 439 nt
Filed under: uncultured bacterium
Lineage: Bacteria
Description: partial 16S ribosomal RNA
Rfam family: Bacterial small subunit ribosomal RNA
Source: RNAcentral
CUACGGGAUGCUCCAGUGGGGAAUAUUGGACAAUGGGCGAAAGCCUGAUCCAGCCAUGCCGCGUGGAUGAAGAAGGCCCUAGGGUUGUAAAAUCCUUUCGGUGGUGAAGAUAAUGACGGUAACCACAGAAGAAGCCCCGGCUAAUUUCGUGCCAGCAGCCGCGGUAAUACGAAAGGGGCUAGCGUUGUUCGGAAUUACUGGGCGUAAAGCGCACGUAGGCGGCCUUGUAAGUUGGGGGUGAAAUCCCGGAGCUCAACUCCGGAACUGCCUUCAAAACUACAAAGCUAGAGGAUGUGAGGGGAUAGUGGAAUUCCGAGUGUAGAGGUGAAAUUCGUAGAUAUUCGGAAGAACACCGGUGGCGAAGGCGACUGUCUGGCACAUUUCUGACGCUGAGGUGCGAAAGCGUGGGGAGCAAACAGGAUUAGAUACCCUAGUAGUC